Molecule: ribosomal RNA, 540 nt
Filed under: Klebsiella pneumoniae
Lineage: Bacteria; Pseudomonadati; Pseudomonadota; Gammaproteobacteria; Enterobacterales; Enterobacteriaceae
Description: bacterial SSU rRNA
Rfam family: Bacterial small subunit ribosomal RNA
Source: RNAcentral
UACUGGGCGUAAGCGCACGCAGGCGGUCUGUCAAGUCGGAUGUGAAAUCCCCGGGCUCAACCUGGGAACUGCAUUCGAAACUGGCAGGCUAGAGUCUUGUAGAGGGGGGUAGAAUUCCAGGUGUAGCGGUGAAAUGCGUAGAGAUCUGGAGGAAUACCGGUGGCGAAGGCGGCCCCCUGGACAAAGACUGACGCUCAGGUGCGAAAGCGUGGGGAGCAAACAGGAUUAGAUACCCUGGUAGUCCACGCCGUAAACGAUGUCGAUUUGGAGGUUGUGCCCUUGAGGCGUGGCUUCCGGAGCUAACGCGUUAAAUCGACCGCCUGGGGAGUACGGCCGCAAGGUUAAAACUCAAAUGAAUUGACGGGGGCCCGCACAAGCGGUGGAGCAUGUGGUUUAAUUCGAUGCUACGCGAAGAACCUUACCUGGUCUUGACAUCCACAGAACUUUCCAGAGAUGCAUUGGUGCCUUCGGGAACUGUGAGACAGGUGCUGCAUGGCUGUCGUCAGCUCGUGUUGUGAUAUGUUGGGUUAAGUCCCACAA